This is a non-coding RNA of Carica papaya (papaya), 604 nucleotides long. The record is from RefSeq and is a predicted model, not a curated record. NCBI's taxonomy places the organism in Eukaryota, Viridiplantae, Streptophyta, Magnoliopsida, Brassicales, Caricaceae.
GUGAUGAAUAUAGAAAUCCAUCAUUAUGUUCUGCCAUCGACUCCUUUCCAUUCCUUCAUAAAGAAGAAAGGAAAUUGAAAAGCAGUGGACAUAUUGGUGAGCAGAAGAAAAAUUGAAUAUGAGAAAGAGUGCAGAAGUGAAAACAGAGGGUGAAUCGGGAGGAAGGGAGUGAGAGGUUGUGAGUGUGAGGAGGUGUGCAGACCAUUCUUUUUGAGAGGUAAGCCAUUUCUGGUGAUUUUCUAAUGAUGUUUAGGUUCCUCUUAAACUAUUCAAUUAUCCCCAGCUCCCUUUCUAAAACAGAAACAAAUUGAACUCAACCAGGCUCUGUUUCUGCUGCACCUUCGGACAGUACAUUUCCCCAUAUGAUAAUGAAGAUCUGCCUCUGGAUGCAUGUUUGGAUCCAUUCCACAAGGACUAGAAUAAGAUGACUUUUAUAUAUUUUGAAUAGAGGCAAAAGAAUUGUAUUUUGUUAGUUAACUCAAACUGAUGUAUAUAUCUAGAUAGUUAACUUUUGCCUCAAAAUAUUGAAUGCGAGUUUGUAAGGGAUGGAAUGUUCAGCCGUAGUAUAUUUGAAAAUAAAAUUUUAUUUAAUAGUUGGAUUGGA